UACGGAGGAUACAAGCGUUAUCCGGAUUUAUUGGGUUUAAAGGGUGCGCAGGCGGACCGUUAAGUCAGGGGUGAAAAGUCGGGGCUCAACCUCGAUCGUGCCUUUGAUACUGACGGACUAGAGUGCGAUAGGAGUGGCCGGAAUGUGGUGUGUAGCGGUGAAAUGCUUAGAUAUGCCACAGAACACCGAUCGGGAAGUCAGGUCACGAGUUCGCAACUGACGCUCAUGCACGAAAGCGUAGGGAUCAAAC
RNAcentral lists this ribosomal RNA (250 nucleotides) under uncultured prokaryote. RNAcentral's name for it is "partial 16S ribosomal RNA". It matches the Rfam family "Bacterial small subunit ribosomal RNA", at positions 524 to 773 of the family's 1533-position model. The record is from RNAcentral.